This 470-nucleotide ribosomal RNA is filed under the name uncultured Arcobacter sp. RNAcentral's name for it is "bacterial SSU rRNA". It matches the Rfam family "Bacterial small subunit ribosomal RNA", at positions 916 to 1381 of the family's 1533-position model. Lineage: Bacteria; Pseudomonadati; Campylobacterota; Epsilonproteobacteria; Campylobacterales; Arcobacteraceae. The record is from RNAcentral.
ACGGGACCCGCACAAGCGGUGGAGCAUGUGGUUUAAUUCGACGAUACGCGAAGAACCUUACCUGGCCUUGACAUACUAAAAAGCUUUAAGAGAUUAGAGUGUGCUAGCUUGCUAGAAUUUAGAUACAGGUGCUGCACGGCUGUCGUCAGCUCGUGUCGUGAGAUGUGGGUUAAGUCCCGCAACGAGCGCAACCCUCGUGUUUAGUUGCUAACAGUUCGGCUGAGAACUCUAAACAGACUGCCUACGCAAGUAGGAGGAAGGUGAGGACGACGUCAAGUCAUCAUGGCCCUUACGGCCAGGGCUACACACGUGCUACAAUGGGGUAUACAAAGAGCAGCGAUACGGUGACGUGGAGCAAAUCUAGAAAAUGCCUCUCAGUUCGGAUUGUAGUCUGCAACUCGACUACAUGAAGUUGGAAUCGCUAGUAAUCGUAGAUCAGCAAUGCUACGGUGAAUACGUUCCCGGGUCUU